This is a non-coding RNA of Ciona savignyi (Pacific transparent sea squirt), 72 nucleotides long. NCBI's taxonomy places the organism in Eukaryota, Metazoa, Chordata, Ascidiacea, Phlebobranchia, Cionidae. The record is from Rfam.
GCCCGGUUAGCUCACCCGGUAGAGCGUUGGAUUUUAAUCCACCGGUCAAGGCUUGAAGUCCCUUAUUGGCCU